UACGUAGGGGGCGAGCGUUGUCCGGAAUCACUGGGCGUAAAGCGCGUGUAGGCGGCUCGGUAAGUCCGGUGUGAAACCUUGGGGCUCAACCCCAAGCCUGCACUGGAUACUGUCGAGCUCGAGUCCGGGAGGGGAGAGCGGAAUUCCUAGUGUAGCGGUGAAAUGCGCAGAUAUUAGGAAGAACACCGGUGGCGAAGGCGGCUCUCUGGAACGGUACUGACGCUGAGACGCGAAAGCGUGGGGAGCGAACAGG
RNAcentral lists this ribosomal RNA (253 nucleotides) under uncultured bacterium. RNAcentral's name for it is "partial 16S ribosomal RNA". It matches the Rfam family "Bacterial small subunit ribosomal RNA", at positions 524 to 776 of the family's 1533-position model. The record is from RNAcentral.